This is a non-coding RNA of Camellia sinensis, 1284 nucleotides long. Lineage: Eukaryota; Viridiplantae; Streptophyta; Magnoliopsida; Ericales; Theaceae. The record is from RefSeq and is a predicted model, not a curated record.
CAGUAGAAGAAGGAGCUCUGUAACUCUGUACAGCUCAUUGGCAUCGUCGUUACACCUGUCCAAAUCAAGCCCCUCAGCUCUGGCAAGGUCAUCGCUUCGUCUUGCCUAGCCGUCAAGAAAUCCUGUACCGACACUGCCUGGUCUGAGCUUGAAAUCAACUAUACAUGGAUCGCAAUUGCAAAGGUAAGCUUCGUUAGAAUUUCUGCUUUAAAGCAAUUCAUGUAUAAUGUUUAUAUUUGUUUUCUUCCCUCUUUAUACUUACCCUGAUAGGUGUGUUCAUGUUCCUAGCACUGUGAGAAUCAAAAUCAUUAAGAUGUAUAAAGUCUUGGUUUGCGUGGUUUCACAUAUGGUUUGUAGCUGCAAUUUACACAUUGUCAAUUGGUCCAUGAGGAUGUAUAAUGCUAUAUCAGAACUUAGACAAGACAAAAGCAUUCUAUACAUGUUUGGAAUGUGGGAAAAAAUAUUUAUUGAUACCCACUCGUUAGAUUGUUUCUUGAAUGGACUGUAGUCCCUUGUUGCCUUGACUAGAACUUACUGCACAUGAAAGCAUACCUAAUGGCCACAUUGCCCUCAAUGCCAUCCAACGUCGCCAUGCAAAAGUUUCUACUGGGGACACAAUAUCCAUGAGCAGAUUUGUUCCACCUGAAGACUUCAACCUAGCAUUGCUUACUCUUGAAUUGGAGUUUGUAAAGAAAGGGGGCUAAAGAUGAGCAGGUUGAUGCUGUUCUUUUGUCUCAGCAGGUUCGAAAGAGAUUUAUCAACCAGGUAAUAGCUGGUAGUGGUUUUCCUUACUUAAUUCCCCCCCAUAUAUUUAUAGGCACUAUUAGAGCAACUCCAAGGGAAGAGGCAUAUUAAUCCUGUUAGCUAUUUUAGCUAAUAUUACCCUAAAUUCUCACUCCAAUCGGCUGGCUAAACGGCUUCCUAUUUUCCCUCAUCCCUUCCCCGCGGGCUUCAAUUGGAGAGUGAUUGAAGGCUUUCCAAACUCGUCUCUCUCGUGAAAGUAUUCUGUUCCUUCUUCAAACACGUCUCUCCCGCGAAAUCAAUCUGCUCCUUCAGCAUGAAAUCGACCUUCCCCUUCAGCGUUGUCUGCAACUCCCUCUAUCUGACCUCUUCCUCAAGGUUAUGACGACGGGACAGGGGGUAACAUUUGAGUAUCAUGGCAAUGGUUAUAUUUUCACCGUUAAUCAAGCUGCUAUAGAGGGGCAAUAAAAGUCAAAAGGUAUUGAAAGAGGGAUGCUUUCAACUGAGACAUAUAUUGUCUUCGAAGCGCCAAAUUCCAAUGGA